AGCGAACGCUGGCGGCAGGCUUAACACAUGCAAGUCGAGCGGGCACUUCGGUGUCAGCGGCAGACGGGUGAGUAACACGUGGGAACGUACCCUUUGGUUCGGAAUACCGCUGGGAAACUAGCGCUAAUACCGGAUACGCCCUAUUGGGGCAUGGCUUGCUGCCGAAGGAUCGGCCCGCGUCUGAUUAGCUAGUUGGUGGGGUAAUGGCCUACCCAGGCGACGUUCAGUAGCUGGUCUGAGAGGAUGAUCAGCCACACUGGGGCUGGGACACGGCCCAGACUCCUACGGGAGGCAGCAGUGGGGAAUAUUGGACAAUGGGCGCAAGCCUGAUCCAGCCAUGCCGCGUGAGUGAUGAAGGCCUUAGGGUUGUAAAGCUCUUUUGUCCGGGACGAUAAUGACGGUACCGGAAGAAUAAGCCCCGGCUAACUUCGUG
This 433-nucleotide ribosomal RNA is filed under the name uncultured bacterium. Its description in RNAcentral is "partial 16S ribosomal RNA". It matches the Rfam family "Bacterial small subunit ribosomal RNA", at positions 29 to 507 of the family's 1533-position model. The record is from RNAcentral.